UGAACGCUAGCGACAGGCCUAACACAUGCAAGUCGAGGGCAGCACAAGGAGCAAUCUGAGGUGGCGACCGGCGCACGGGUGAGUAACACGUAUGCAACCUGCCUGUAAGCGGGGAAUAACCCGUUGAAAGACGGACUAAUACCGCAUAAUACUAAAUUACUGCAUGGUAAUUUAUUUAAACAUUUAUGGCUUACAGAUGGGCAUGCGCAUGAUUAGCUAGUUGGAGAGGUAACGGCUCCCCAAGGCAACGAUCAUUAGGGGUUCUGAGAGGAAGGUCCCCCCACACUGGUACUGAGACACGGACCAGACUCCUACGGGAGGCAGCAGUGAGGAAUAUUGGUCAAUGGACGAGAGUCUGAACCAGCCAAGUCGCGUGCAGGAAGAAUUGUCCUAUGGAUUGUAAACUGCUUUUGCAGGGGAAUAAAGUGCAUCACGUGUGAUGUUUUGUAUGUACUCUGCGAAUAAGGAUCGGCUAACUCCGUGCCAGCCGCCGC
This 494-nucleotide ribosomal RNA is filed under the name uncultured bacterium. RNAcentral describes it as "bacterial SSU rRNA". It matches the Rfam family "Bacterial small subunit ribosomal RNA", at positions 30 to 518 of the family's 1533-position model. The record is from RNAcentral.